Molecule: long non-coding RNA, 569 nt
Organism: Dermochelys coriacea (leatherback sea turtle)
Lineage: Eukaryota; Metazoa; Chordata; Testudines; Dermochelyidae
Exons: 2
Source: RefSeq, a predicted model, not a curated record
CAUGGUUACAAUCAUGUUAAUUGAAAGGUGUGUUCACACCCAUAAAUCUCAAUAGUGUUUUUACCACACAGAACAAGAUUUCACCCAAGUCAUAACAAUGCUGUCAGUUUAAGAAUAAAUCUCUCUCAUACUAUCAGUAUGGUAUAUAAGCCAAAGUACAUAAAACUUUGACAUUUUCACUAUAUAGAACAGCUUAAUGCUUUUAGCUGAAAAUAGCAGCACAGAGUGGACUUUUCAGACUAUUGUGACUUGGAACAUUUAAAAAAAUAGAAAAGGGUAACUGGUUAGGAACUGACUCCAAAUCCAACAGAUUAUCUCUAGAUGGUUGAAUGUUCAUCUCUAGUACACAAAAAUGGGACACUUAUCUUCUGACAUUUUUCUUACUGAUACUUCAAAGAUCACUUCAGGAGUUGCUCAUAAGGAACUGGCAACUCAAGAGCAAGAGCUGCUGUACUACAGAUAAUGGGCCACAGGGAAUUCAAACAACAACAAAGCAAAACGGAGCCAGAAAAAGAAGAAAAAAAUUAUUUUUCUUUUAACUCUUAACACAAGAGAAAUAUAAAAAAGUG